RNAcentral lists this ribosomal RNA (497 nucleotides) under uncultured bacterium. Its description in RNAcentral is "partial 16S ribosomal RNA". It matches the Rfam family "Bacterial small subunit ribosomal RNA", at positions 28 to 507 of the family's 1533-position model. The record is from RNAcentral.
GAUGAACGCUGGCGGCGUGCCUAAUACAUGCAAGUCGAGCGAACAGACGAGGAGCUUGCUCCUCUGACGUUAGCGGCGGACGGGUGAGUAACACGUGGAUAACCUACCUAUAAGACUGGGAUAACUUCGGGAAACCGGAGCUAAUACCGGAUAAUAUAUUGAACCGCAUGGUUCAAUAGUGAAAGACGGUUUUGCUGUCACUUAUAGAUGGAUCCGCGCCGCAUUAGCUAGUUGGUAAGGUAACGGCUUACCAAGGCAACGAUGCGUAGCCGACCCGAGAGGGAGGAUCGGCCACCUGGAACCGAGGACGCGUCCCGACUCCGAACGGGAGACACAGUUGGGAAUCCUACGGAAUGGGGCAAAGGCGUACCGGGCCAACGCGGCGUAAGUGUGAAGGUCCUUCGAUUCGUAAACCAUUGUAUUAGGGAAGAACAAAUGUGUAAGUAACUAUGCACGUCUUGACGGUACCUAAUCAGAAAGCCACGGCUAACUACGUG